RNAcentral lists this ribosomal RNA (599 nucleotides) under Pichia kluyveri. RNAcentral's name for it is "LSU rRNA". It matches the Rfam family "Eukaryotic large subunit ribosomal RNA", at positions 34 to 651 of the family's 3401-position model. Lineage: Eukaryota; Fungi; Ascomycota; Pichiomycetes; Pichiales; Pichiaceae. The record is from RNAcentral.
UUAAGCAUAUCAAUAAGCGGAGGAAAAGAAACCAACAGGGAUUGCCUCAGUAGCGGCGAGUGAAGCGGCAAGAGCUCAGAUUUGAAAUCUCACCUAGUGUGCGAGUUGUAAAUUGCAGGUUGGAGUCUCGGGUUAGACGUGUGUGCAAGUCCCUUGGAACAGGGUGCCACUGAGGGUGAGAGCCCCGUAGCGUGCAUGUCGAUACCUGUGAGGCCCUUCUGACGAGUCGAGUUGUUUGGGAAUGCAGCUCUAAGUGGGUGGUAAAUUCCAUCUAAGGCUAAAUAUUGGCGAGAGACCGAUAGCGAACAAGUACUGUGAAGGAAAGAUGAAAAGCACUUUGAAAAGAGAGUGAAACAGCACGUGAAAUUGUUGAAAGGGAAGGGUAUUGGGCUCGACAUGGGAUUUACGCAUCGUUGCCUCUCGUGGGCGGCGCUCUGGGUUUUUCCUGGGCCAGCAUCGGUUUUCGUUGCAGGAUAAGGACAAUUGGAAUGUGGCUCCUCGGAGUGUUAUAGCCUUUUGUAGAUGCUGCGUAUGGGGACCGAGGGCUGCGGCGGACUCGUUUCGUCUCGGAUGCUGGCACAACGGCGCAAUACCGCCCG